AUGAAUUUAGUUGGAAUGAAAUCUUACAUGACCGUGAUCAGGGAAGAGGGUAUAACUGAAGCACAUAUGCCCAAGAUAAGUGACAGGUGAAUUUCACAAUGAGUGUAAGUGUAAGUGUCGCUAUACUUCUCCAUAGGAGUGAACCUUGCUUUAAUAAGCUCCUGGCACAAGUUUAAGCAAUUCAUAUAUAAAUGAUGUAGUACAAACCUCUAUUUUAAGCAAAAUACAUAUUAUGGUGCAGUUUUUCUAUGAGAACUACCACUACCAGAAGAAAGGCUUUAGCCGACGAAAAUAAAAAAACCAGGCCGACUAAUUAUUUUUUCGUCGGCUAACGUGUACUUUAGCCGACAAAAUUUUCCUUCGUCGGCUAAUUUAAAUUUUCGUCGGCUUUGGUCAACUUUAGACGACGAAAUUUUGAUUUCGUCGUCUAAAUAAUUUUUUUCGUCGGCUAUAGUCUGUGAACUUUAGCCGACGAAAUUUUUAAAAGUUUAGCCAACGAAAAAUAUAAUUUCGUCGGCUAAAGUGCCUUAUAUUUACAGAUCUAGACAACAACUCAUCUGGGGAAAAAAAACUAUACAUAGAACCUUCAAACGCAAAAAAGUCGUUAAAUAAGAUAUGACCAGAAUGGUGAAAUACGUCUACGGUUGAAAAAUCACGGUAUUCCGGUAAAAUCUCGGUGCUGAUAGUUGCGGUCAAUGUAAUUUACCCUUAUUAUUCACUAUGCUGUAGAUUUGGUAUUUGGUGUCCGAUUGACUAUUAUGAUACCUUUUCGGAAGCGUAACGGCCGUACGAGUCAAACUUAUUGCUAUGCCAUGACAUAUGGGUUUUUUUGGCCAUCCGAGUCCGUUUAGGGCUUCAAAAUGCAGUUUUCUUAUUUCUGAUUAGAGUUGACCGUUUUGAUCGAGCCCUUAACGUUGUCGAAUCCAGUUGAAUUUUUUACCAUAGACAUCUUUCGUCAUAAUGAUCAUAUCUGAGGGUCGAAUUUUGGUUUGUGAAUUUUAGUCAUCGGAAUCACAACGUGUCUACUAUUUACCGUUAUUAUUCCCUAUGGGGAGCCCUAUCGUCGGAAGGUAAAUGUCUCAAAAUUUUUAUAUGGGCAGUUGCGUCUCAUCUACGUGAGAGUUUUUCGUGUGAAAGGUUUGACCAAACUACGUAAUAUAGAGGGAGAUAUGAGCGUUUUCGUGUGAUAAGUGACGAUGGAUUAGGGUUGACCGUUUCGAUCGAGAGCCCUUAACGUUGUCGGAUCCAGUUGAAUUUUUUACCAUAGACAUCUUUCGUCAUAAUGAUCAUAUCUGACGGUCGAAUUUUAGUUUGUGAAUUUUAGUCAUCGGAAUCACAACGUGUCUACUAAUGUUGUAUAACUUGUUUAGUAGGUUAUACAACUUUGUGAACCAACUCUACAUAGGAAGCAAAAUUAUCAAAAAUAUCGUGAAAUAAGAUGUGUUCAUAAUGGUGAAAUACGGCUAUGGUUCAAAAAUCACGUAAAUCGGGUAACGUCUCGGUGCCGAUAGUAACGGUCAACCCUAUUUACCGUUAUUAUUCCCUAUGGGGAGCCCUACCGUUGGAAGGUAAAUGUCUCAAAAUUUUUAUAUAGGCGGUUGCGUCUGAUCUACGUGAGAGUUUUUCGUGUGGAAUGUUUGAUCAAACUCCGUAAUAUAGAGGGAGAUAUAAGCGUUUUCGUGAAUUUAUAGACUUUAGCCGACGAGAUAUUAAAAAUGUCGUCGGCUAAGGUCAAAAAUUUUUUGGUGGUAAACCAAAUUUGGAGGAAAAUUUUCAAAGGACUUUAGCCGACGAAAAUAAAGGACUUUCGUCGGCUAUUGUCAAAAAUUUUCAACCAAAUUUUCAAACUUUUUUGGCGGUCAACCAAAAUUUUCAAAAGAGUUUAGCCGACGAAAAUAAAUAAUUUCGUCGGCUAAAGUUCUUUAUAUAGGAGUUUUACUGGAGGUGGAUGGUAAGAAGUCAGAAAAUCAGAAAAAGUUCCGGAUUUUCUUCUCGGCCUAGCUCCGCAGUCAAGCCACCGGAGACCGCCACACUUGUCCUAAAAGCUUCGCCGUCAUCUCUACUUCAUUGCUGGACAUGUGGUGCAUCGAGUCGCGCCGCCGUGAGGGAUAAAUCGAGCUCCAAAACUCCGCCGGUUCGGAUUCGGUGUCGAUCGAAUUUCUCCUUCCUCAGGUCACCAUUUGGUGAGUUCUAUAUAUGGAUAAGUUGAGUUUGAUUAGUACUACAUUCUCCUAGAAUUUGGUAGCUCGAUUCGGUGUGUGUGAAGAGAAUCGAAGAUUUGAAGUUUUUAGGGUUUAAAAUUGGGGAUUUUUAUAUUUUGAUUCAAUUGACCUGUUUAGGCUUAGAAUUGGGCUUCGACUUCUUCUAGAAAGUUGUUCGAAAUGUUGAGAGGAAGAUUCUAUCAAAUUUUGGUGGUGAUUGGAGGUGGCCAAAAGUUUCUGCAGUUUUUUUUUUUCUAAAACCAGCAACUUUAGCCGACGAUAUUUAAAUACUAUAUUCGUCGGCUAUAGUAUUUUUAAAUUUUUUUUUAUAAGGUUUAGCCGACGAAUUAUGGCAUGUUUCAUCGGCUAUAGUUAUUUUUUUAAUUUUUUUAUAAGGUUUAGCCGACGAAACAGACUAUAUUUCAUCGGCUAUAGUUAUUUAUUUUUUAUUUUUUAUAAGGUUUAGCCGACGAAACAAACUAUAUUUCGUUGGCUAUAGUCUGGGAAAAAUUUUUUUAUUACAGACUUUAGCCGACGAAUAUCUUAAUUGUUUCGUCGGCUAAAGUCUGGGAAAAAAACCGACGCCAUAUUUUUCGUCGGCUAAACUGUAGGACUAUAGCCGACGAAAUUCUUUUUUUCGUCGGCUAAAGUCAUCGCCGAUGACUUUUUCCCGGCGAAAUCUUAGCCGACGAAUUAAGCUAACAGGCCGACGAAACUUUUUCGUCGACUAAAGUGCUUGUCCUGGUAGUGUACUCACAUUAAUUGAGACCGAUAUCAGUGCUUUCUCUUCCUCUUUGUUGUCAAUAUAGUCUAUCAACCUCUCUCUCAAAAGAUCUUCCCAAACACUUGUCUAAAGAACAACAAAUCUGUAAAUUGAUGUAACCAUAGAAGUCGGUGAAAUUAUUUUGAAGAUUCAGUUUGAUGCUCACCCGACAACAAAAAUAUAAAGCAAAGGCCACACAAAGAGUGUGGCAUUUAGAGGUGUUGCAAUACACACUUGUGUGGCAAUUUUUCCCUCAUCUCCGCUAAUACUCACACUUGUCACACAUAACAAAGAUUGCAACACCUCUAAAUUCUUGUGUGGCCUUUGCUCUAUAUUCUUGUUGUGCUCGCUGCUUUAUUGCUUCUAUAUGUUCUUUCUUUACGAGUAGCCUUAAGUUGUGCCAUAUAAAAAGAUGGAGCACAACAUAGUCAAAUUGCUGGAUGACCAUGUCACAUGUCAAAAUAAAAAUUGACACACUCCAAAUGACUAUAUCAUUGGAGAUGUUGAGAUGCUCUAUAACAUGCUAUUUGGUAUGGG
Molecule: long non-coding RNA, 3501 nt
Filed under: Fragaria vesca (wild strawberry)
Lineage: Eukaryota; Viridiplantae; Streptophyta; Magnoliopsida; Rosales; Rosaceae
Description: long non-coding RNA (FVES_LNC001711)
Source: RNAcentral